RNAcentral lists this non-coding RNA (22 nucleotides) under Arabidopsis thaliana (thale cress). The record is from RNAcentral. Lineage: Eukaryota; Viridiplantae; Streptophyta; Magnoliopsida; Brassicales; Brassicaceae.
UUACGUAACUAUUGUGGGCUUU